AAUAGAUACCCAGGUAGUCCAUGCCGUAAACGUUGGGAACUAGAUGGUAGGGACCAUUCCACGGUUUCUGUGUCGCAGCUAACGCAUUAAGUUCCCCGCCUGGGGAGUACGGCCGCAAGGCUAAAACUCAAAAAAAAAAGGAUUGACGGGGGCCCGCACAAGCGGCGGAGCAUGCGGAUUAAUUCGAUGCAAUGCGAAGAACCUUACCAAGGCUUGACAUAUACCGGAAAGCUGCAGAAAUGUAGCCCCCGCAAGGUCGGUAUACAGGUGGUGCAUGGUUGUCGUCAGCUCGUGUCGUGAGAUGUUGGGUUAAGUCCCGCAACGAGCGCAACCCUCGUCCUUUGUUGCCAGCACGUAAUGGUGGGAACUCAAGGGGAGACUGCCGGGGUCAACUCGGAGGAAGGUGGGGAUGACGUCAAAUCAUCAUGCCCCUUAUGUCUUGGGCUUCACGCAUGCUACAAUGGCCGGUCAAAGGGCUGCAAUACCGUAAGGUGGAGCGAAUCCCAAAAAGCCGGUCUCAGUUCGGAUUGAGGU
RNAcentral lists this ribosomal RNA (534 nucleotides) under uncultured bacterium. RNAcentral's name for it is "bacterial SSU rRNA". It matches the Rfam family "Bacterial small subunit ribosomal RNA", at positions 777 to 1304 of the family's 1533-position model. The record is from RNAcentral.